This 406-nucleotide ribosomal RNA is filed under the name uncultured bacterium. Its description in RNAcentral is "partial 16S ribosomal RNA". It matches the Rfam family "Bacterial small subunit ribosomal RNA", at positions 30 to 526 of the family's 1533-position model. The record is from RNAcentral.
AUUGAACGCUGGCGACAGGCCUAACACAUGCAAGUCGAGCGAUCGGCGGACGGGUGAGUAAUGCCUGGGAAACUGCCCGAUGGAGGGGGAUAACUACUGGAAACGGUAGCUAAUACCGCAUAUCAUCAGACGUGCCCAGAUGGGUUUAGCUGGUAGGCGGGGUAACGGCUUACCUAGGCAACGAUCCCUAGCUGGUCUGAGAGGAUGACCAGCAACACUGGAACUGAGACACGGUCCGGACUCCUACGGGAGGCAGCAGUGGGGAAUAUUGCACAAUGGGCGCAAGCCUGAUGCAGCCAUGCCGCGUGUGUGAGGAGGGCCUUCGGGUUGUAAAGCACUUUCAGCGGGGAGGCGUUACCCGCAGAAAAAGCACCGGCUAACUCCGUGCCAGCAGCCGCGGUAAUUC